UCUCAGUUCGGAUCGCAGUCUGCAACUCGACUGCGUGAAGGUGGAGUCGCUAGUAAUCGCGGAUCAGCAACGCCGCGGUGAAUGCGUUCCCGGGCCUUGUACACACCGCCCGUCAAGUCAUGAAAGUGGGCAGCACCCGAAGACGGUGGCCUAACCCUUGUGGGGGGAGCCGUCUAAGGUGAGGCUCGUGAUUGGGACUAAGUCGUAACAAGGUACC
RNAcentral lists this ribosomal RNA (217 nucleotides) under uncultured bacterium. RNAcentral describes it as "partial 16S ribosomal RNA". It matches the Rfam family "Bacterial small subunit ribosomal RNA", at positions 1286 to 1500 of the family's 1533-position model. The record is from RNAcentral.